UUGAAAGGGAAACGAUUGAAGUCAGUCGUACCAGCGGGAAAUCAACCUUUCGAGUGGGUUUUGGGGUUUUGAAGAGUGUUAAAACCUUUGAGAUUUCGAAAUGUUUGCUCUUUUGGUGUACUUUCUCGUAGGUAGGUUAACAUCGAUUUUGAUCAUCAUAAAAGGAUUGGAGGAAUGUAGCUUCGAUCUCGUAUUGAAGUGUUAUAGCCUUUGGUAAAUGUGAUGAUUAGGAUCGAGGAUUGCAACGAAUACCCUUUUGGGCUAUCCGCCUGAUCUCUGAUACGUGGCCUUGGUAUUGAAAGCGUGCUUAUGAUAUUAAGGUAUUACGGUCAAAAGGUUAGAACGGAUUACAUUCGUUAAGGAUGUUGACGUA
RNAcentral lists this ribosomal RNA (373 nucleotides) under uncultured Glomeromycotina. RNAcentral's name for it is "LSU rRNA". The record is from RNAcentral. Lineage: Eukaryota; Fungi; Glomeromycota.